This 372-nucleotide ribosomal RNA is filed under the name uncultured bacterium. Its description in RNAcentral is "bacterial SSU rRNA". It matches the Rfam family "Bacterial small subunit ribosomal RNA", at positions 524 to 898 of the family's 1533-position model. The record is from RNAcentral.
UACGAAGGGUGCAAGCGUUAUCCGGAUUCAUUGGGUUUAAAGGGUGCGUAGGUGGGGCGUUAAGUCAGUGGUGAAAGCCCGCAGCUCAACUGUGGAAUUGCCAUUGAUACUGGCGCUCUUGAGUGCGCUUGAAGUAGGCGGAAUGUGCCGUGUAGCGGUGAAAUGCUUAGAUAUGGCACAGAACACCAAUUGCGAAGGCAGCUUACUAAGGCGAUACUGACGCUGAGGCACGAAAGCGUGGGGAUCAAACAGGAUUAGAUACCCUGGUAGUCCACGCCGUAAACGAUGAUCACUCGUGAUUGGCGAUAUACGGUCAGUCACCUAGCGAAAGCGUUAAGUGAUCCACCUGGGGAGUACGAUCGCAAGAUUGAA